UGAGGCGUGAUGGGGAAGGCCCUUGAGGCUGAAGUACAUGAUUCCAUGCUUCCAAGAAAAGCAUCUAGAGAGAGAAGUAGUGCCCGUACCGCAAACCGACACAGGUAGAUGAGGAGAGAAUCCUAAGGCCGGCGGAAGAAUUGCAGUUAAGGAGCUAGGCAAAUUGACCCCGUAAGUUAGCGAGAAGGGGUGCCUGCGAGAGCAGGCCGCAGAGAAUAGGCCCAAGCAACUGUUUAGCAAAAACACAGGUCUCUGCUAAAGCGCAAGCUGAUGUAUAGGGGCUGACGCCUGCCCGGUGCUGGAAGGUUAAGGGGAACACUUAGCGCAAGCGAAGGUGUGAACUUAAGCCCCAGUAAACGGCGGCCGUAACAAUAACGGUCCUAAGGUAGCGAAAUUCCUUGUCAGGUAAGUUCUGACCCGCUCGAAUGGCGUAAUGACUUGGGCACUGUCUCAACUGCAAAUCCGGCGAAGUUGUAGUGCGAGUGAAGAUGCUCGCUACCCGCGAUUGGACGGAAAGACCCCGUAGAGCUUUACUGUAGCUUAGCAUUGAAUUCCGGUAUUGCCUGUACAGGAUAGGUGGGAGACUGGGAAACUAGGGCGUCAGCCUUAGUGGAGUCGCCCUUGGGAUACCACCCUGACAGUACUGGGGUUCUAACAGGACGCCAUGAAUCUGGUGACUGGACAUUGUUAGGUGGGCAGUUUGACUGGGGCGGUCGCCUCCUAAAAAGUAACGGAGGCGCCCAAAGGUUCCCUCAGAACGGUCGGAAAUCGUUCGUAGAGUGCAAAGGCAGAAGGGAGCCUGACUGCGAGACCUACAAGUCGAGCAGGGACGAAAGUCGGGCUUAGUGAUCCGGUGGUACCUCGUGGGAGGGCCAUCGCUCAACGGAUAAAAGCUACCUCGGGGAUAACAGGCUGAUCUCCCCCAAGAGUCCACAUCGACGGGGAGGUUUGGCACCUCGAUGUCGGCUCGUCGCAUCCUGGGGCUGUAGUAGGUCCCAAGGGUUGGGCUGUUCGCCCACUAAAGCGGCACGCGAGCUGGGUUCAGAACGUCGUGAGACAGUUCGGUCCCUAUCCGUCGCGGGCGUAGGAAAUUUGAGAGGAGCUGUCCUUAGUACGAGAGGACCGGGAUGGACUGACCUCUGGUGCACCAGUUGUUCUGCCAAGAGCAUGGCUGGGUAGCUAAGUCGGGAAGGGAUAAACGCUGAAAGCAUCUAAGCGUGAAGCCUCCCUCAAGAUGAGAUUUCCCAUAGCAUAAGCUAGUAAGACCCCUUGAAGAACACGAGGUUGAUAGGUCAGAGGUGUAAGUGUGGUAACAUAUUUAGCUGACUGAUACUAAUAGGUCGAGGGCUUGACCG
RNAcentral lists this ribosomal RNA (1355 nucleotides) under metagenome. Its description in RNAcentral is "bacterial LSU rRNA". It matches the Rfam family "Bacterial large subunit ribosomal RNA", at positions 1557 to 2925 of the family's 2925-position model. The record is from RNAcentral.